This 73-nucleotide transfer RNA is filed under the name Selaginella moellendorffii. It matches the Rfam family "tRNA". Rfam says of the family: Transfer RNA (tRNA) molecules are approximately 80 nucleotides in length. Their secondary structure includes four short double-helical elements and three loops (D, anti-codon, and T loops). Lineage: Eukaryota; Viridiplantae; Streptophyta; Lycopodiopsida; Selaginellales; Selaginellaceae. The record is from Rfam by way of RNAcentral.
GAUCUCAUGGCCGAAAGGACGAGGCGCUGGUCUACGAAACCAGAGAUUCUGGGUUCGAUCCCCAGUGAGAUCG